ACCUGUCCUAAUUGGCUAGCUCUAAUGGAGCACCAACUUGCAAGUGCUUAUAAGGCCGUGUGGGUCAUAAUAUUUUAAACUGAAAGGAAACAACUCUGUUCGUGAGCUCUUCUUCUUCUUCUUCUUCUUCUUCUUCUUCCCAUUACUACAAACAAUGAACCUGUUCUUAUAGAGUCUGCUCUUCUUCUUUCUACUCCUGCAAACAACGACUCUGUUCUUAUAUACUCUGUUUCUUCUUCUUCUUUCCGCUAUUACAAACUACCACUCUGUUCUUAUAUACUCUGUUUCUCUCUGCAUUUCGUUCCAAAGUUUACAUAUACCCAUGCCAUUGAUUGUAUCUUAAUCCUUCGUUACUAAUGUAUCAUCAUCUGCCUGAGGAUCCUAUGCAUUUCUAAUUAGUGGUAUUUUCUGAAGCUCCCCUGAAGGUAUGUGCGUCUACUUAAUGCCUCUCCUUUUCUUUUCAGUUUCAAAUUAUAGCGUACCAAAUUUUUGUUAUUUCUCUUUUCAUUCUCGUUCUUGUUUUCGCCGAAUGAUGAUCAAAAUGCGUAGUUUCUUGCCGUUAUUUCUUCUUUUAGUUAACUUCCAUGUCUUGUACGUAUGUAUAUAAUUUUGUUAAAUGAUGAAAAAUUUUAUUCGUGCAUGCGAAGAAUAUCUAGGAAUAAAAAAUGGAAGGCCACAAACAAGUAGAAACAAAACCAGAGAAAUGGUGAUUUUGUUGUGUAAUGCUUUAUGUUAACCUAAGCUCAUGACAAAACCAAGGUAAGACAUUUCUUGUCUAUCAAAAUGCUUCCCCUGCUUCUGCUCUGUUUCUAAAACCUAAUAUUGUCAGAUGAACAAACCCAAGGGAUUCUCAAUCGGGAAAGGGUGUAGUUUUCAACUUCUUCCUAAACUGUAGUCGGAAAAUGUCACAUGUCACGAUCCUGUGACCAUCACGAGCCACGUGACGUGCAAAGAAAAGAGGAAAAAUUGCACUCAUAGCUAGCCUCAAAUUCUUGUUUGUCACGUGAACCCAUGAUGGUCACGGGCUCGUGAUAAAUGAUAUUGUUCCUUUGUAAUCGAUAGUGGCAUAUCUUGGAAUUUUUCGACAAGUGGGCCAUAUUUAUUUUUUAUUUUUUAUUUUCUAAGGGUAGUCACUAGUGGGUCAUCCUUAGAAAAGAUUACUGUGGUGGUGCAGAAAUAUAUGAAUUUUUUUUUCUUACAUGUAUCCCGUUGUUCUAGAUGGUAUGCUGAGAUGCCAUGAUGACAUAUAAUUUUUCUAGGCUUGUGUAUAAUAAAUCAUGAUUAAUUUCAUUUAAUCAAGAAAGUAAAAUGAUUGAAUUUGAAAAGUUGGUAUACUUUUGGUGAAAUGAUAAGAAUCUAAAAACCAAAAAAUAAAAAGCUUAUCAUGAUUAAUAAAGUUUUUUGAGUAGUGUAACACACAUCCGUGCACACGGGUGAUACAUGAAUACAAUAAUAUGACCAUCAAAAACUCGAAAUAGGUCUUUAACUUUAAUUUUUCUUUCAGAAAUAUACACAUCAAAAAGAAAAAAGAAAUACAUGAAGUGCUUGAAUUGAAUUCGUCAAAAAAAUAAUUCUAAAUUUGGGGCAUCGACUUGUAGUGUACAUGAAUUUAUAUUAGGUGAUUGAAUUUAAUUUAAAAAUUUUUGAAGAAGUGGGUCCUACAAGGCACUACGGUCGAAUAUCCCAAUCAUUUUUAUUAAUUUUAAAUAUUUAUUCGAUCAUAUACAAAUACCGACAUAUGUUUAUAUUAAAAAAAAAAGAAUUUAAAAAAAGGAAAAUAAAAACUUCCACAAAUAAUAGACUUGUACAUAUUUUUUGCUUGGAACUUCAAUCGGAGCAAAAUCUAUCUACCCAUUAUCAUAUCUUUGGUAAAUCACCCGAUAAAAUCGCAAGUGGAGAAUCGAACCUAAGACUUUAGGGUAUUUCGGCCUUAUCACUUGAGCAAAUCCUAGUAGUAGGCCACACAGGCACCCACAUUAUAGAAUCUGGUGAAUUAUAUUUUUCCAAUAUAAUAUAUAUUAUAAACUCCUUAAAAAGAAAAAAGAAAAAAAGAGCAGCAGGUGGAAACAUCAGUCGGUCAAGCAAAUGGAGGUCAACCAUCCACCAAUCAGAUAUGAAAAUAGGAUAGUUAGGAGAAAUAAAGACCAGUAGUUUUGGGUUUGAGGAUCAGAUAUGGGUCAAAAGAACAUUAGGUCAAAUCCCCACCCACACCAAUUUAAUUUAUGGCCAUUUUUCAUUUCCCCCACUCCCACUAUAUUCAAAUUUUUACAUUCCCUAAAAGCCAAAAACCCUAUUUAAUUUAAUUUCUCUGCAGAUUUUUCAGACCCGUGAAGGUUUAAUGGCAGCCUUGUACUUUCAUUCUGAUCAUCCCUUCCAUUUUGCACGACCCUUUAUUACCGGCAUUUUGUACUAUCAAUUUUAUUCGAUAUUUGUAAAAUUGAAUCAAUUGGUUCAGUUACACCGAGUUAGAAAAUAUGAGGAAAAGGAAAAAAAAAUAUAAAAAAUUUAAUUUCUCGUGAUUAAUUAUCAAGAAAAUUAAAAAAAAAAAUUAUAUCGAAUCAAUGAACAAAAUUUUGGUCUUAUAUACCAUUCCCGUCUGAUUUUUCUUAUUUUUUUAAUCAUAUUACAAAAAAAUUUAUUUUUAGUGGUAUUUGAAAUAAAGAAAAAAAUAUAAUCAAAAAUUGAGUUUCCUUCUCAUUUUUCUUUUCCUUUUCUAUCCAAACGGACCCUUAAGUUUCAAGUAAAUCAGUUGUGCUAGUUUGGCUGGCCCCAUUCGACUAUGAAUAGAAAUUAUAUUAUUAUUUUUUAUUUUAUUUUUUUUACUCACUGUGAAGACUUAAUUAAAGGGUCGUCAUUGAUGUGGAAAAUGGACAUUAUUUUUAUUAUUAUUUUCCAAAAUCAUAUGCUUUUGUGGGCCCCAAGCCUCAGUCCAUUUCUUGUAGUUUGAGGCUCAACAUUUGGACUCCUUAUGGGCUUAGGCCCAACCCAAAAUGGUUAGCCAGCAGUGAAGUUUAGGCUGACUAGAGUCCAGCAGAAACCCAAUUAUCACUUGGGCUCCUUGUGGGCUUGGGCUUAGGUCCAGCUGCAAACUUCAGAAAAUAGGCUAAAUUGGGCCUGAUAUUUUCUUAUCCUGAGAUAUUUUAUUUUCACCUAUGUACCAAAAAAGAAAAAUAAAAUAAAGUUAGACAUCAAUAGAAAUAGUCGGGACUGGCGCAGUUGUCCAAUCCUAGCCAAUCGUGCAUUUCAAGCAUGUUGUACCCUACGGUAUACCCACAUUCAACCUAGCCAUUGGCUGGGAGCACUAGGCGAAUGAAAUUUUAGAAAAAUCUUAGAGUCCUACAGUAAUUUUAACGUUCUUCUUCCAAAAAAAAUAAAAUAAAAUAAUAUUUAUUUUUAUAUGUCCGUAUCAAAAGAUUUGAAAUUUUAAUCUCUAAAGUUAAUUUUACAAUCUUUUAUUAAAAAAAAUUAUUCCUAAAUUAAUGCAAAAUACUUCGCUAUUGAAUAGUCUAUCAUAAUUUUUGUUUACAAAUCCAAUACACAACUCUUUAGAAUUGUUUUAUGUUGUGUUCACCCAUACAUAUAUCUUGCUCUAGUGAAUAAAAUUUCUUGAGCUAGUGUGCCGGUAUGCAUGUGUGAAAUGCAUGGAUGGCCGAGAUUGGUCAGUUGCGUCAGUCACGUAUUAGUAACAAGUCUCAAGGAAGGAAUCAAUAAUAAAAAAAAAUUAUUGCAAAAAAUUUUCAUAAGAUUUUUUUGCAAGUGAUGCAACAUCCGAUAAAUAUUAGGAUUGAUUAAUUGGAUGGGAAAAGGUUUAAUCAAUUCUUAAAUGCCAUGUUGUGAAAAAUCUUAUGAAUAUUUCCUUGUGAUGGAUAGAAACACUUAUAUAUAUUUGCUUUCUUAUAUAAACGAAGUGAAACUAAUUAAAAGAAAAAGUAAACCAAUUAAGUGAACAUAUAUUUAGCAAUAUUCUUGAUUAAGGUGUUGCUAAAUUUGUCUUGGUGUAUACCUAAAAACACACACACUAUUCUCGUGUAAGAGCUCAAGUUAGAGUGAAAAAAGAGUAUAAACUAGAAUGAAGUGACUAAUUGAAAUUGAUGUAAUUGUCCAAUCUUGGUCGUUCGUGCAUUUCACAUGUUAUUGUAAUGCUCUCGUGCAUGCAUGCGUGGAAUGCAUGGAUGGCCGAGAUUGGUUGGUACGUCGCAUCAAUAAAUCUUUAUCAAACCUAAGGAAAACCUGUAAUAUAUAAUUAUUAUAGGAGAAGUUUGGCCAAUUAAGGAACGUCCUAUUAAGGAAAUUAAAGAUGGGCAAUUCUCAUGAUAAUCAAAGUUUAGUGGCCUUUAAACUUUGGAAGCAUUUACCUAACUUGAAAGUUGCAAAUUUACCAAAUCAAAUUUCUAUCGUAGAAGAAUUGAACUUGUGUGCUGCCUAGACUAACUCCCCAUAUAUAUAUUUACCCUACCAUUAGGAAGCGUGUGAAAAAAUGUAUGUGGCGGUUACUACUUAAUUUUAUUUUUGCAUUCAAAAGUAUGGAUUUAAAGGCUUAGAUUUAGAUUUGUAUGAAUUUAGAAGAAACCCAAUACAAUUCUAUAUUACAUUUUGUCUAAAUCACACAAAUCCAAAUCCAAGCCUCUAAUUAAGUUUAUGUUAGCUUCCAAACGUUAUCCUAGUGAAAUUAUUUUUAAUUUUAUGAUCAAUUAAAAUCAUUACCUUCUAACUUUCAAGCUUCUAAUUCUACUUCUCGAACCUUUUGCAUCUGCCUAAUAUAUCUCGAUCAAUUAAUAUUUCACAUUUUACACCAUCUAUCUAUGUUUUUUCUUCAAAAUUAUUCUUAUAACUUUACAUUCUUAUUGUGAAUGGUACGUACUGGAAUUAAAAUCCAUUGAGGAUUUCAAGGGCAUACCGCAAAUAUGCAUGAAGAUAGAGCUACUCAAAACAUGGCGCAUCAUGAUCAUCAUCAGCUGUGCUAGCUAGAAUUAAGGCCAUUGAUUACUGAUCAGAGAUGCUUUUCAAUAUGAUCACUAAUCCUCUUUGGAUCGCUCUGGUUGUGAAAUGGAGACGUCGUAGAAGACAAUACAGCAGAUUCCCAGCUUGUGCCGAAUCCAAAAGCCUGAGCAGAAGAGAUCAAAGUAGCAUGAUCUGCAGAAGUACCCUGCGGUGGUGCAAUACUGUUGUUACUAGCCCCAUUCGGCUGCUGCAGCAGUUGGUGUUGAGCACUUGAACCGGCAAACAUGUCUUCGUUGAUUAACGAAUUCAAGAAGGAAGAGAAUACGUCGUCGGUGGGGCACUGGUUCAUCAUCUCGUCCUCUUCUUCCUCGUAGACGAGCCCGGAUGUAAUAUGAAUAUUGCUAUUGUUUCUGAUCAAACCCGGCACGGGAGUGUCAAAAUUCGGAAGAUUGGCUUGGGCGUGAUAUUGAUCAAAUCCAGCAGCGCUACCGUCGUAGUAUCCGUAGGAGGGCGAAGAGGACGGUCCACCCUUUACGAUGCCUGAAUUAAUUAUCGGAGCCGCCGGUGAUUCAUGUAAAUGAUGGUGAUGGUGGUGAGUAGUAUUGAUGAUCGCGGAAGCGUGAGGAGUCGGAUCGGGAUCAUCAUGGUGGUGUUGGUGAUUAGGGUUUUGAGGGGAGGUUUCGACUGGCCGAGUUUGAUGAAGAUGAUGAUGGUGGUGGUUUGGUAUAGAUGAGGAAGAAGGAGCAGAAGAUUGGGGGAGAUUAAGGUGAGAAGUAGUGGUGUUAGAGUUUAGGGGUUUGUGUGUUCUGGGAUCUAUGCCUUGGCUGAUGAGCUUCUUGCUGAGGCUGAAAUAAAGCACGCGCCUUCGAGAUCGUGACAUUCACGCGCCAUCGGUUGUAGCUCAGCCUCAGUCUAUAAUGGUGUAUGGGUUUCGGGAACCAGAAGGAUCUCGCAUCUUCGGGUUGCAAAGCAGCUGACGAGGAGGUUCCACUGGUUCAGAUUGCUACGGUUGGUUCUACGCUCCGGCAUGGCGCGUGUAUAAACAAUUCCGAAAGUUGUCCAAUCCCAGGCGCAUCUAUGAACGUUACUACCACGCGCCGCUACAAAGUAGAUUAGAAGGUCUAUAGAUUUGCGAAGUCAAAGCAUUAUCGUAGAAGAGGUUUACAACUUGCUGGCGGGGUGGUUUAAUGGCUUGGAUGGACGGAUUGGUUGCCACGCUCCGAUGGCCUGCGUGCUAGAAAUGAUGAGAAAAAGGAGCCAAUCCCUGGAAAUGACUUGCUCAGGUCUGAUUUGUGGGGAGGGGGGACCCACUUGCCUGCUGCGCAUCGAUUGGGCCAGCUGGCACCGAUUGAGGAUGAUAUAAUGCGGUCCCGUUGCUUAUCUGGUUUGAUAAAUGAAUGUGUGUACGCCGCGCAGCACUGAAUAAAAACCCAUGUGCACACUGCAUUUUAAAUAUUUAAAUACACCUUGAGCAAGUAAUCCACUAAUCCCCAAUAAUGACGCGCCCCUGAUCUAAUCCCCGCCGUUCGAUUCAUCCGAUUGCUGAUCCUACGGCCCCCAGCUCACUUGGGCUUUCUUUUUAAGUUUCUGUUUUUUUUUUUUCCCAUUUUCCCUUGUGUUGAAGUGAAGUAAAAAAUUAUUUCUUUAUAAGUAGUUUUUUUAUUUAAAAAAUUUCUAUGCUCUUAUUU
Malania oleifera is the source of this 6629-nucleotide long non-coding RNA. RefSeq lists it as uncharacterized. The record is from RefSeq and is a predicted model, not a curated record. Lineage: Eukaryota; Viridiplantae; Streptophyta; Magnoliopsida; Santalales; Ximeniaceae. The transcript is spliced from 3 exons.